Molecule: ribosomal RNA, 250 nt
Filed under: uncultured bacterium
Lineage: Bacteria
Description: partial 16S ribosomal RNA
Rfam family: Bacterial small subunit ribosomal RNA
Source: RNAcentral
UACGGAGGGUGCAAGCGUUGUUCGGAAUUACUGGGCGUAAAGAGCACGUAGGCGGGUCUUUAAGUCAUCUGUGAAAGCCCGGGGCUCAACCCCGGAAUUGCAGGUGAAACUGAAGAUCUUGAAUACUGGAGGGGAUGGUGGAAUUCCUGGUGGAGAAGUGAAAUUCGUAGAGAUCAGGAGGAACACCAGAGGCGAAGGCGGCCAUCUGGCCAUGUAUUGACGCUGAGGUGCGAAAGCGUGGGGAGCAAAC